UGGGGAAUAUUGCACAAUGGGCGCAAGCCUGAUGCAGCCAUGCCGCGUGUGUGAAGAAGGCCUUCGGGUUGUAAAGCACUUUCAGCGAGGAGGAAGGUGGUGAGCUUAAUACGCUCAUCAAUUGACGUUACUCGCAGAAGAAGCACCGGCUAACUCCGUGCCAGCAGCCGCGGUAAUACGGAGGGUGCAAGCGUUAAUCGGAAUUACUGGGCGUAAAGCGCACGCAGGCGGUUUGUUAAGUCAGAUGUGAAAUCCCCGGGCUCAACCUGGGAACUGCAUUUGAAACUGGCAAGCUAGAGUCUCGUAGAGGGGGGUAGAAUUCCAGGUGUAGCGGUGAAAUGCGUAGAGAUCUGGAGGAAUACCGGUGGCGAAGGCGGCCCCCUGGACGAAGACUGACGCUCAGGUGCGAAAGCGUGGGGCAGCAAACAGGAUUAGAUACCCUGGUAGUCCACGCUGUAAACGAUGUCGAUUUUGGAGGUUGUGCCCUUGAGGCGUGGCUUCCGGAGCUAACGCGUUAAAUCGACCGCCUGGGGAGUACGGCCGCAAGGUUAAAACUC
This 557-nucleotide ribosomal RNA is filed under the name uncultured bacterium. Its description in RNAcentral is "partial 16S ribosomal RNA". It matches the Rfam family "Bacterial small subunit ribosomal RNA", at positions 355 to 902 of the family's 1533-position model. The record is from RNAcentral.